Molecule: long non-coding RNA, 464 nt
Organism: Poeciliopsis prolifica (blackstripe livebearer)
Lineage: Eukaryota; Metazoa; Chordata; Actinopteri; Cyprinodontiformes; Poeciliidae
Exons: 3
Source: RefSeq, a predicted model, not a curated record
CUCACACUCCGGCGGAGGCUCCCUCACUGCCGCUCCCCGGGGAGAGGAAGAAAGGCGGACGCUAAAGAGCCUUCUAGAAGACGGCUGCCUCUCACAUUUACUUCCAGACUCGGACGGGAUAAUAAACAGGAUAAGAAGAUGAAGACAUCAGGGACUGGGAAGCUGAUCAGAGUUGGGAGAUGGAAGACCAUCCAGAACAAGCCUGGAGGAAAACGUGGUAGAGUCUAAGGCAGAGGUUCACAGCUACACUGAGCCUGCAGCAUAUCAGCAGUGAUAUGAUGGAUAACUUGGAUCAAAAUAUAUUCUAAAAUGGCCCAUUCAAAGUCCAGACACUGAUCUGUGGGAUCUCCAUCUACUCUGACUGAGCUUGAGCUGUGUUGCUUGUUUCUAUCAAGCAACACAAGACAAGCAACAAUAAAAUCCUAAUGAAAUACAUUCAAGUUUCUAGCUGUAAAAUUAAAAAA